Non-coding RNA from Chelonoidis abingdonii (Abingdon island giant tortoise), 116 nucleotides. NCBI's taxonomy places the organism in Eukaryota, Metazoa, Chordata, Testudines, Testudinidae. The record is from RefSeq and is a predicted model, not a curated record.
CCAGGACUUGGUGAAGGACAAGCAGAGGAGCGGGUUCCCGUGUCCUUGACUACUCGACUGCCCGUAUCAUCCACUGCUCAGAGGCUACAAAACCUCAGGAAGAAGCCACGAAAAAG